This 429-nucleotide ribosomal RNA is filed under the name Bacteroidota bacterium. RNAcentral describes it as "Bacteroidetes bacterium partial 16S ribosomal RNA". It matches the Rfam family "Bacterial small subunit ribosomal RNA", at positions 355 to 776 of the family's 1533-position model. The record is from RNAcentral. Lineage: Bacteria; Pseudomonadati; Bacteroidota.
UAGGGAAUCUUCGGCAAUGGGGGGAACCCUGACCGAGCAACGCCGCGUGAGUGAAGAAGGUUUUCGGAUCGUAAAGCUCUGUUGUUAAGGAAGAACGAGUGUGAGAAUGGAAAGUUCAUGCUGUGACGGUACUUAACCAGAAAGGGACGGCUAACUACGUGCCAGCAGCCGCGGCAAUACGUAGGUCCCGAGCGUUGUCCGGAUUUAUUGGGCGUAAAGCGAGCGCAGGCGGUUAGAAAAGUCUGAAGUGAAAGGCAGUGGCUCAACCAUUGUAGGCUUUGGAAACUGUUUAACUUGAGUGCAGAAGGGGAGAGUGGAAUUCCAUGUGUAGCGGUGAAAUGCGUAGAUAUAUGGAGGAACACCGGUGGCGAAAGCGGCUCUCUGGUCUGUAACUGACGCUGAGGCUCGAAAGCGUGGGGAGCGAACAGG